UGGAAAGUAAGACUGCUAAACUCUAGUGGCAUGGUAUGGUUAAAUGAAGGCUGGAACAAAUUCAAGGAGUACUAUUCAAUUGGUUGUGGUUACUUUUUACUCUUCAGAUACAAAGGAAAUUCCCAGUUCUGUGUGUUUAUAUUUGAUUUAAGUGCUUCUGAGAUUGAAUAUCCUCCUGGCCCAAAUGAAGAUAUGACACCAGAAAAUCGAUCUGUUCUGUGCGUGCCACUAGAGGAAAACGGGAUAAACUUACCCCCACCCGGAGA
Molecule: unclassified non-coding RNA, 266 nt
Filed under: Hevea brasiliensis (rubber tree)
Lineage: Eukaryota; Viridiplantae; Streptophyta; Magnoliopsida; Malpighiales; Euphorbiaceae
Source: RNAcentral